RNAcentral lists this ribosomal RNA (464 nucleotides) under Vreelandella stevensii. RNAcentral's name for it is "partial 16S ribosomal RNA". It matches the Rfam family "Bacterial small subunit ribosomal RNA", at positions 338 to 795 of the family's 1533-position model. The record is from RNAcentral. Lineage: Bacteria; Pseudomonadati; Pseudomonadota; Gammaproteobacteria; Oceanospirillales; Halomonadaceae.
CCUACGGGGUGCAGCAGUGGGGAAUAUUGGACAAUGGGCGAAAGCCUGAUCCAGCCAUGCCGCGUGUGUGAAGAAGGCCUUCGGGUUGUAAAGCACUUUCAGUGGGGAAGAAAGCCUUGGGGCUAAUACCCUCGAGGAAGGACAUCACCCACAGAAGAAGCACCGGCUAACUCCGUGCCAGCAGCCGCGGUAAUACGGAGGGUGCGAGCGUUAAUCGGAAUUACUGGGCGUAAAGCGCGCGUAGGCGGUCUGAUAAGCCGGUUGUGAAAGCCCCGGGCUCAACCUGGGAACGGCAUCCGGAACUGUCAGGCUAGAGUGCAGGAGAGGAAGGUAGAAUUCCCGGUGUAGCGGUGAAAUGCGUAGAGAUCGGGAGGAAUACCAGUGGCGAAGGCGGCCUUCUGGACUGACACUGACGCUGAGGUGCGAAAGCGUGGGUAGCAAACAGGAUUAGAUACCCUAGUGUC